This is a non-coding RNA of Colossoma macropomum (tambaqui), 2440 nucleotides long. The record is from the annotation of a RefSeq genome assembly. Lineage: Eukaryota; Metazoa; Chordata; Actinopteri; Characiformes; Serrasalmidae.
ACUAUACAAUGAAUCCCCCACGGCUCUUCUUGCUCCAGGUGUUCCACAGCGUUCUGCUCUGGGCCCCUUUCUCUUUGUAAACUAUAUAAUCUGUCUUUGUCAUAUAAUUCAUCAGUUUUCACUGCACCAAUGCUACAUAGAUGAGUCACCCACUUCUCUGCCCCUCAAGACUGUCUUCUACCACCUUCAUUAUAUUUCCAGACUCCGCCCCCUGAUUAUCAGCAGUGAUUCAGAAAUGUAGAUUAGUGUCUUUAUCAGUUCCCACCUUCAUCACUGUAAUGACCUUCUUAGUGGACUCCCAGUUAAACUCCUCCCUAAAUAACAGUCUGUUCAGAACUCAGCAGCUGGAGUCCUCACUCACACUAAGCACUCUGCCCUCAUCACACCUGCUCUCCAUAAACUGCACUGCUUAUCUGUCCCUUUGUGUGGUCAGUACAGGCUGCUGCUCAUGACUUUCACAGACAUACAUGGCCUUGACCUUCAUACAUUACUGAACUCCUUCAUCUCUACACGCCAGCUCGGACACUCAGGUCUUCUGGAACUGGUCUGAUUAGAGUGAAUCAGACUGUCCUCAGUCAGUGGUAGAGAAUUUAGUGGAACAGCUCCAAAACUCUGGAACUCACCUCUAUCUCUGUCUUUAACACACAACUCAAAACCCACCUGUUUACUCAGUGCUUUACCUCCCUUUACACUUUCAUUCAGAUGGAACUGAUGCUUUUCUACUGUAUGUUAGAGCUCUUUCUGUUUGUUUCUGCACUCGUUCUGUUUCACUGUUACCUGCUUUGAGUUAAUAAAGGUGCUGUAUUAAUAAAACAUAUUAUUAUUUGACUGACGCACUGAUGGUGAUCAGCAGCACUAAAGUAAGAAGUGAAACCAGCCCCCCACAGCCCACCCAGCUGAACACAAACAAGCAGUUUUAAGCAGUAAUCAGUCAGACAGAGAGAGAGAGAGCAGUGGGGUGAAACUCAGAUUUGCAUGAACAGGCCUGAGUCGUCCUCUUUCUCCCAGAAUAGAGCAGCACUUUCACCAGAUGUUCAGCUUAAUUCAGCCAAACUCCCUCAAGAUCAACACACAGCACUGCACUGAAUCUACAGCUGAACUCCCUCUCUAACAACACUGACCAUCACCAUUCAUUACAGUAAAGAACUCAGACUAAACUCAAAAGAACUGGAAACUCUGCAGCAGCACUAAUGCAUUCUAGCACUGGAGAACAUUUACUAGUUCCUCUUUACACAGUGGAACAACUAGAACUUUCCUAACUCAUAAUCUAACUAACAUCAGAUGAAGUGUCAUAAAAACAGUUCAAACCUCUCAUUAAAACCUGUGAAUGUCUUCAUACAGGAGAAUCUCACUGACCUCAGACAAGCUGAUCAUCAUGAUCUGUAACUGAUAAUGAGGUGAUUAAAUGAAUCUCCUGUUUAAAUAGAAUAAAAGUCUCUUUUCACAGUGAGUUUGGUUCCUCCACUGAAAGUGAACCACAGUGAUACAUUUCAGUGAAGUCAUUGUACAUAAACCUCCAUCACUCAUCACUGUUUACCCUGAACUCUUCUACACUCAUCAACUAUUUAUGACCUUUAGAAAUGAACGUCUGACACUGAAUUAACAGAACUGAGCUAAUACUUUAUAAUCAUAUCUAAAUAAUCAUAUGUGUUUAUUAUAGAGGUGUUUGGUGAGUCCAUUUCCAUAGAGGCUCCACUUUGCAUUAUCAGCCCAUGCUUCAGUGCUCUGCUAGUGUUUAUAGUCCUGUGAGUUUAACACUUCAUGACUGAGAGCUGCUGCCCCACAAACUUCACCCACAGCAACCAUGACUUUGGUCUCCAUCUUCAUCUGGACACUGACCCUCUGGACUCAAGAGUCCUUUGGGGACGUCAUCCUGACUCAGACUCCAGGAUCUCAGACUGUUUCACCAGGAGACUCUGUUACUAUCAGCUGCAGAGCCAGUCAGAGUAUCAGCAGCUGGCUUGCCUGGUAUCUGCAGAAACCCGGAGAAGCUCCUAAACUCCUGAUCUAUUCUUCUAAUAGCCGUCAGUCUGGUGUUCCAGAUCGUUUCAGUGGGAGUGGAUCUGGAACAGAUUUUACUCUAAAGAUCAGUGGAGUUCAGCCUGAAGAUACAGGAGAUUAUUACUGUCAGCAGUAUAGCAGUGGGUUCACAGUGUUAGAGUGUGAUACAAAAACCUCCCUCAGCUGUAGAGGAACUGCUCUGACUCAGAAACCCUCACUGAUCUCAGAACAGCUGCUAAAGCUGCACUCAACUGAACUCAUCAACUCAAAACACUACAGGACAUUUACAGCAUUUGGCAGACGCUCUUAUCCAGAGCGACUUACAGUUGGAUCAUUUGAUUUGCUGACAGUAGGCUGGGAGUCCUUGGUGGCCUCACAGGUCACUGUCUUCUUUAGCCACUGGUCCCCCUGGAGGGUCAGGGUGCUGCUCCAGCUGUAG